GUUGGUGAUGGAAUACUAUUGUGCUCAAGGGAAUAAUAAAGUGGAGGAAUUCCACGGAGACUGGAACAACCUCCAGGAAGUGAUGCAGAGCAAAAGGAGCAGAAAUGGGAAAACAUUGUCCCAUCUGGGUCGCCAUCUUGAACUCUCUCUUCAAAGUUCUUUUCAACUUUCCCUUACGGUACUUGUUGACUAUCGGUCUCGUGCCGGUAUUUAGCCUUAGAUGGAGUUUGCCACCUGGUUUGGGCUGCAUUCCCAAGCAACCUGACUCCAAGAAGACCCGGUCCCGGCGUGCCGGGGUCCGCUACAGGCCUUACACCAUCCACGGGCUGUGCCUCGAUCAGAAGGACUUGGGCCCCCACCGAGAGCGGCACCCCAUUACGGAGGGAAUCCUGGUUAGUUUCUUUUCCUUCGCUGACUAAUAUGCUUAAAUUCAGCGGGUCGCCACGUCUGAUCUGAGGUCACAUCUCAAAAGUAAUGGACUCCUCCACUAGGGCCAAUGCAAUGUCCCUGAACAAUCUGCAGGGAUCUAAA
RNAcentral lists this long non-coding RNA (531 nucleotides) under Monodelphis domestica (gray short-tailed opossum). RNAcentral describes it as "lncRNA (ENSMODG00000044632.1)". Lineage: Eukaryota; Metazoa; Chordata; Mammalia; Didelphimorphia; Didelphidae. The record is from RNAcentral.